RNAcentral lists this unclassified non-coding RNA (215 nucleotides) under Ascochyta medicaginicola var. macrospora. Its description in RNAcentral is "partial internal transcribed spacer region". The stretch from base 1 to 46 matches the Rfam family "Eukaryotic small subunit ribosomal RNA", at positions 1786 to 1831 of the family's 1831-position model. The record is from RNAcentral. Lineage: Eukaryota; Fungi; Ascomycota; Dothideomycetes; Pleosporales; Didymellaceae.
AAGUCGUAACAAGGUUUCCGUAGGUGAACCUGCGGAAGGAUCAUUACCUAGAGUUUGUGGGCUUUGCCCGCUACCUCUUACCCAUGUCUUUUGAGUACUUACGUUUCCUCGGCGGGUUCGCCCGCCGACUGGACAAAAUUAAACCCUUUGCAGUUGCAAUCAGCGUCUGAAAAACAUAAUAGUUACAACUUUCAACAACGGAUCUCUUGGUUCUG